Molecule: ribosomal RNA, 432 nt
Filed under: uncultured bacterium
Lineage: Bacteria
Description: partial 16S ribosomal RNA
Rfam family: Bacterial small subunit ribosomal RNA
Source: RNAcentral
ACGAACGCUGGCGGCAUGCCUCACACAUGCAAGUCGAACGAAGGCUUCGGCCUUAGUGGCGCACGGGUGCGUAACGCGUGGGAAUCUGCCCUUUGGUUCGGAAUAACAGCUGGAAACGGCUGCUAAUACCGGAUGAUGACGAAAGUCCAAAGAUUUAUCGCCAGAGGAUGAGCCCGCGUUGGAUUAGGUAGUUGGUGGGGUAAAGGCCUACCAAGCCGACGACCCAUAGCUGGUCUGAGAGGAUGAUCAGCCACACUGGGACUGAGACACGGCCCAGACUCCUACGGGAGGCAGCAGUGGGGAAUAUUGGACAAUGGGCGCAAGCCUGAUCCAGCAAUGCCGCGUGAGUGAUGAAGGCCCUAGGGUUGUAAAGCUCCUUUACCCGGGAAGAUAAUGACUGUACCGGGAGAAUAAGCCCCGGCUAACUCCGUG